Long non-coding RNA from Chenopodium quinoa (quinoa), 372 nucleotides. RefSeq lists it as uncharacterized. The record is from RefSeq and is a predicted model, not a curated record. NCBI's taxonomy places the organism in Eukaryota, Viridiplantae, Streptophyta, Magnoliopsida, Caryophyllales, Amaranthaceae. The transcript is spliced from 3 exons.
ACUACUUCAUAUUGACUUUCCACCCUUGCUGGGUGUUGCCUUGAUUCUUGGUACAUUUGAUCAAGAAUUGAAAGUUCUUCAUGAGAAAAGUGCAGCUAUAGCAACAACAGACAGGAGCAGAGGAGUAAACAGUAAACAAACCCUUUUGUUUCCUGAACCAUCCCAAAGGGGCAGUUGAUCGUCCUUGUAAUAAAUCAGAAGCCUGAGAAUUUUCAUGUUGUCAACAUGGGGUGUCUCAAAUGUGCGAAUAAGCAGCUGAUUGGACUCAUAAAAGCAAGGGGAGGAUCACAUACUCGUUACUCAUGCUAAUUAGACCCGCAAUUUGUGAUGCACAGGCCAGUAUACUCCUGAUGAUCCAGUAAGCAGCUGUCG